Molecule: ribosomal RNA, 253 nt
Filed under: uncultured bacterium
Lineage: Bacteria
Description: partial 16S ribosomal RNA
Rfam family: Bacterial small subunit ribosomal RNA
Source: RNAcentral
UACGUAGGUGGCAAGCGUCGUCCGGAUUUAUUGGGCGUAAAGCGCCCGCAGGCGGCUUGAUAAGUUUCAGGUGAAAUCUCCCGGCUCAACUGGGAGGGUGCCUGGAAAACUAUCAGGCUUGAGUCAUGGAGAGGGAUGUGGAAUUCCCGGUGUAGUGGUGAAAUGCGUAGAUAUCGGGAGGAACACCAGUGGCGAAGGCGGCAUCCUGGCCAUGUACUGACGCUCAGGGGCGAAAGCGUGGGGAGCAAACCGG